RNAcentral lists this ribosomal RNA (883 nucleotides) under uncultured Bacillota bacterium. RNAcentral's name for it is "bacterial SSU rRNA". It matches the Rfam family "Bacterial small subunit ribosomal RNA", at positions 12 to 894 of the family's 1533-position model. The record is from RNAcentral. Lineage: Bacteria; Bacillati; Bacillota.
CUUUGUUAUGGCUCAGGACGAACGCUGGCGGCGUGCUUAACACAUGCAAGUCGAACGAGAAUCUGUGGAUCGAGGAUUCGUCCAAGUGAAGCAGAGGACAGUGGCGGACGGGUGAGUAACGCGUGAGGAACCUGCCUUUCAGAGGGGGACAACAGUUGGAAACGACUGCUAAUACCGCAUGAUACAUUUGGGUGGCAUCAUCUGAAUGUCAAAGAUUUAUCGCUGAAAGAUGGCCUCGCGUCUGAUUAGCUAGUUGGUGAGGUAACGGCCCACCAAGGCGACGAUCAGUAGCCGGACUGAGAGGUUGACCGGCCACAUUGGGACUGAGAUACGGCCCAGACUCCUACGGGAGGCAGCAGUGGGGAAUAUUGGGCAAUGGGCGCAAGCCUGACCCAGCAACGCCGCGUGAAGGAAGAAGGCUUUCGGGUUGUAAACUUCUUUUAAGAGGGAAGAGCAGAAGACUGUACCUCUAGAAUAAGCCACGGCUAACUACGUGCCAGCAGCCGCGGUAAUACGUAGGUGGCAAGCGUUGUCCGGAUUUACUGGGUGUAAAGGGCGUGCAGCCGGGAAUGCAAGUCAGAUGUGAAAUCCAUGGGCUUAACCCAUGAACUGCAUUUGAAACUGUAUUUCUUGAGUACUGGAGAGGCAAUCGGAAUUCCUAGUGUAGCGGUGAAAUGCGUAGAUAUUAGGAGGAACACCAGUGGCGAAGGCGGAUUGCUGGACAGCAACUGACGGUGAGGCGCGAAAGUGUGGGGAGCAAACAGGAUUAGAUACCCUGGUAGUCCACACUGUAAACGAUGAAUACUAGGUGUGCGGGGACUGACCCCCUGCGUGCCGCAGUUAACACAAUAAGUAUUCCACCUGGGGAGUACGAUCGCAAGGU